CAAACAUCUACCAUCAAGGGGAGAGAUGAUUCUGGUAAUGAAUCAGCAGAUGGAUUCAGCGUCAGUGAUAUUGAGGACGAGAGUAUUGUUGAUAGGUUGAAACGACAGAUUGAACAUGAUCAGAGAUACAUAAAUUCUCUAUACAAGGAACUGGAGGAAGAAAGGAGUGCAUCAGCCAUUGCCACUAAUCAGGCAAUGGCCAUGAUCACUAGGUUGCAAGAGGAGAAG
This 228-nucleotide unclassified non-coding RNA is filed under the name Hevea brasiliensis (rubber tree). The record is from RNAcentral. Lineage: Eukaryota; Viridiplantae; Streptophyta; Magnoliopsida; Malpighiales; Euphorbiaceae.